Molecule: unclassified non-coding RNA, 21 nt
Filed under: Mus musculus (house mouse)
Lineage: Eukaryota; Metazoa; Chordata; Mammalia; Rodentia; Muridae
Description: oocyte_clustered_small_RNA13368
Source: RNAcentral
GCGGGGCAGCGCGGCGGAGAG